This 253-nucleotide ribosomal RNA is filed under the name uncultured bacterium. RNAcentral describes it as "partial 16S ribosomal RNA". It matches the Rfam family "Bacterial small subunit ribosomal RNA", at positions 524 to 776 of the family's 1533-position model. The record is from RNAcentral.
UACGUAGGGCGCAAGCGUUAUCCGGAAUUAUUGGGCGUAAAGAGCUCGUAGGCGGUUUAUCGCGUCUGCCGUGAAAGUCCGGGGCUCAACUCCGGAUUUGCGGUGGGUACGGGCAGACUAGAGUGAUGUAGGGGAGACUGGAAUUCCUGGUGUAGCGGUGAAAUGCGCAGAUAUCAGGAGGAACACCGAUGGCGAAGGCAGGUCUCUGGGCAUUAACUGACGCUGAGGAGCGAAAGCGUGGGGAGCGAACAGG